ACGCGUGUUUCUCAUCGUGCUGUGCUUCUUCUUCUUCAACUUUCUCCUGAAGAGAUGGAGAAGAAAAGGGAAGUCCGUGUCACCUCUUGCUCUCUGCCGGAAAAAAGAGAGAGAGAGAGUCCCCUUCUACUUU
Caenorhabditis elegans is the source of this 133-nucleotide non-coding RNA. Lineage: Eukaryota; Metazoa; Nematoda; Chromadorea; Rhabditida; Rhabditidae. The record is from Ensembl.